Molecule: ribosomal RNA, 484 nt
Filed under: uncultured bacterium
Lineage: Bacteria
Description: partial 16S ribosomal RNA
Rfam family: Bacterial small subunit ribosomal RNA
Source: RNAcentral
AUUGAACGCUGGCGGCAGGCCUAACACAUGCGAGUCGAGCGGAUGAAGGGAGCUUGCGCCUGGAUUCAGCGUCGGACGGGUGAGUAAUGCCUAGGAAUAUGCCUGGUAGGGGGGGAUAACGUCCGGAAACGGGCGCUAAUACCGCAUACGUCCUGAGGGAGAAAGAGGGGGAGCUUCGGACCUCACGCGAUCAGAUGAGCGUAGGUCGGAUUAGCUAGUUGGUGGGGUAAAGGCCUACCAAGGCGAGUAUCCGUAACUGGUCGGAGAGGCUGAUCAGUCACACGGGAACUGAGCCACGGUCCAGACUCCUACGGGAGGCAGCAGUGGGGUAUAUUGGACAAUGGGCGAAAGCCUGAUCCAGCCAUGCCGCGUGUGUUAAGAAGGUCUUCGGAUUGUAAAGCACUUUAAGUUGGGAGGAAGGGCAGUAAGUUAAUACCUUGCUGUUUUGACGUUACCAACAGAAUAAGCACCGGCUAACUUCGUG